Ictidomys tridecemlineatus (thirteen-lined ground squirrel) is the source of this 117-nucleotide non-coding RNA. Lineage: Eukaryota; Metazoa; Chordata; Mammalia; Rodentia; Sciuridae. The record is from Rfam.
GAGCUGUCUUCAGUAGCACAUAUACUUAAACGGGAAUGAUACAGAGAAGAUUAGCAAGGUUCCUUCACAAGGAUAAUAUGCAAGUUGUGAAGCAGUUGUUUCAUAUUAAAAUUUUUU